Molecule: ribosomal RNA, 261 nt
Filed under: uncultured prokaryote
Description: partial 16S ribosomal RNA
Rfam family: Bacterial small subunit ribosomal RNA
Source: RNAcentral
UACGGAGGAUGCGAGCGUUAUCCGGAUUUAUUGGGUUUAAAGGGAGCGUAGGCGGGAGGUCAAGUCAGCUGUGAAAUGUAUCUGCUUAACGGGUACACUGCAGUUGAAACUGGUUUUCUUGAGUGCGUAAGAGGCAGGCGGAAUUCGUUGUGUAGCGGUGAAAUGCUUAGAUAUCACGAGGAACUCCGAUUGCGCAGGCAGCUUACUAAACUACUACUGACGCUCAGGCACGAAGGCGUGGGGAUCAAACAGGAUUAGAUA